This is a long non-coding RNA of Tupaia belangeri chinensis (Chinese tree shrew), 291 nucleotides long. RefSeq lists it as uncharacterized. NCBI's taxonomy places the organism in Eukaryota, Metazoa, Chordata, Mammalia, Scandentia, Tupaiidae. The transcript has 3 exons. The record is from RefSeq and is a predicted model, not a curated record.
UUCAGAACUGGGGAUAAAUGAGCCCUGAGCAGGAUCCUGGUGUGUAACCGUGAAUUCAGAAGUUUCCUUGUGACCUGGAUUAAAACAAACCAUUUCCUCCCCCAUCUAAUUAAGGCUAUCACCAACAGUCUAAUGAAUAUAAAGUAUUAUCAACAGAUUAAUGAGAGUCAAUGACUAAACAUGAGAGGACUUCCAAAUUCAUGGGAAAAAUAUGAGAACAUGAUGCUCACGGAAUCCCAAGUAUUCCAUCCGUAGCUGUUUGAGUAUUCCCAAUGAUGUACCAGACAAAGG